CUGAGUUAUGCCCUGCCCUGCUUUGUGUCAUAUGGAAUAUGUUCCAUGGUUGGCAAGAAUCUCUCACAUGAAAUCCCUGUUUUGUGGAAGGACUUGUGUGGUGAAUCCCAUCACUUUGUAGAAGUGUCUAGCCCUCCAGCGUGAAAGGCACCAGUCAGUCAUCCAAUCCUUUGGGGGUAAAAAGUACACUGACUAUUGAACGCCUGGAUGGUUCCAUUGUAAGUACCCCUUUUUGCAUGCCUAGUAGUUAGAAAGUUCAGAAUGGGUGGCUGGCCCCUC
RNAcentral lists this long non-coding RNA (279 nucleotides) under Mustela putorius furo (domestic ferret). Its description in RNAcentral is "lncRNA (ENSMPUG00000027665.1)". Lineage: Eukaryota; Metazoa; Chordata; Mammalia; Carnivora; Mustelidae. The record is from RNAcentral.